GCGUGCAGGCGGUCUGAUAAGUUCGGCGUGAAAUAUUCCGGCUUAACCGGGAUAGGUCGUCGGAGACUGUCGGACUAGAGGGUGAUAGAGGCGUGUGGAAUUCCGGGUGUAGUGGUGAAAUGCGUAGAGAUCCGGAGGAACACCAGUGGCGAAGGCGACACGCUGGGUCACACCUGACGCUAAAGCGCGACAGCAUGGGGAGCGAACGGGAUUAGAAACCCCGGUAGUCCAUGCCGUAAACGAUGCCAACUCGGUGUCUGAUCCGGGGAACCGGAUUGGGUACCCAAGCAAACGCGGUAAGUUGGCCGCCUGGGGAGUACGGUCGCAAGAUUAAAACUCAAAGGAAUUGACGGGGGCCCGCACAAGCAGCGGAGCGUGUGGUUUAAUUCGAGGCUACACGAAGAACCUUACCUGGGUUUGACAUACGAGUAAUAGGGAACCGAAAGGGGACCGACCGCAAGGAGCUCGUACAGGUGCUGCAUGGCUGUCGUCCGCUCGUGCCGUGAUGUGUUCGGUUAAGUCCGCAA
RNAcentral lists this ribosomal RNA (527 nucleotides) under uncultured bacterium. RNAcentral's name for it is "bacterial SSU rRNA". It matches the Rfam family "Bacterial small subunit ribosomal RNA", at positions 567 to 1091 of the family's 1533-position model. The record is from RNAcentral.